AUGUUAGUAAAUGCAUUAAUUAACAUUAAGUAAUGAACCUUAUUGUAAAGUGUGACCGAAAUACCUUAUAUUUGGUUCAAUCUGAUCUUAUAUUUGAGAAACAGAUGUGCCAUUUCUUGACUCUCAAUACAUCUGUACACCAACGUCUCGAUCUUCUGUUGUGCUUUCGGCUGUUGCUUGUUUUGUUUAACGCUUCCAUGUGGUUUGUCUUUUGCUGGAUGUCAUCUUGAUCACAGACUGCUCUGUUGUCUCCCUUUCUGAACAUCUGCUGUGUACUGUAUUGUGCCCUGUAGCUUAAUAUAUCCGAUAUUAUUGUCUUUCUUAAUGACAGCCUUGCACUUCAGACUCGAGAGCAACAGGCAGAUGAUAGUAGAAGACAAUAUAUACAGACUGAAAAUCUAUUUAUAUUUUUUUGGUACGUAAAUAGAUUUUGAGAACAAUAUUAUUAAAUAAAUAAACAACACAUAUUAGUGAACAUUCAUGAUGUAUCUGUGUGAGCGUGUGCAUGUGUGUCCGUACCUGAAAAGCAGAUUCUCGAUUCUCAUCAACAUCUCCACUUGUUCUAGGUGUUAUUGUGGUGUCUUUUGUAAGUGCUAACCGUCAUGCUCUUUACGUGUUCAUAUGUUUUUGUAGCUCUGAACACUGUGAGUAAUAAAACAGUGCCUGCAAGACAUUAAUAAAAUUCUACGCUCUCUCAAA
RNAcentral lists this long non-coding RNA (699 nucleotides) under Danio rerio (zebrafish). Its description in RNAcentral is "lncRNA si:dkey-155h10.4 (ENSDARG00000101125.2)". The record is from RNAcentral. Lineage: Eukaryota; Metazoa; Chordata; Actinopteri; Cypriniformes; Danionidae.